Molecule: long non-coding RNA, 804 nt
Organism: Tarenaya hassleriana
Lineage: Eukaryota; Viridiplantae; Streptophyta; Magnoliopsida; Brassicales; Cleomaceae
Exons: 2
Source: RefSeq, a predicted model, not a curated record
UUUAGGCCGAGAUUAUCGAGCUUUUCGUGAAAUUCUAAGCCCAUCCGAACAAAUGGGCUUUAUUGUUGUUCAUAGUGAAGCCCAUUGGCGUAACAAGAGCACAAGACAAGACAAACAUCAAAAAACAAAAGUGGUAAUGAUACAACGCCUCAUGGAUUUAACGCUCAAUUUUCUUCAUGCUUUUGGAGUAACUGUCGCUAGUUGGGCCUUUACACGGUGUUGCUGACAAAGACAAGUUAUGUCACCUAUCCCCCAAAGUUUUCUAACACCUUGUACUUUCAUAUUUCCCCCAACCGCCUCAUGAAUCAUGAUAUCCACUAUCCAGAAAAAAAAUGGAAAGUCAUCUAGCCUCUGCGCUUUUCGAGGGAAGAACAAGGUGCCAAACUACAAACAAAGGCAGAUGCGAUGGAGUCUAAGCACAGAAACAAACCACACAACACACAAAGCAUAUCCCAUAACAAUAUAAGAAGAAAAACAUGAAGGGAAGGAUGGUGGUGGUACCCAGACCAGUUUGGUUGCCAUCAUGACACAGGCCUGCCAUCAACCGUGGUGACCUCCCUCUGCUUCAUGUUGUGAUAGACAUAGAGAGGCCAUCACUCCAUCCACCUCCGAUAGGCAAGAAGCUUGUGAAUGCCUUGGACAAGCCCAAACCUCAAGGAAGAUGCAGCAUCAACAUCCAGUAAGAGUGGCGCCUGGAAAAGAACAGUAUGGAGAAUAAAGCCCUCUUUUGACAUAUUCCGUAUCUUCUGUAGAAUAAAUACCCAUUUGUAAUGUUAUGGCUGUGUGUGACAUGUAAUGAAUCAA